This 530-nucleotide ribosomal RNA is filed under the name uncultured archaeon. RNAcentral's name for it is "bacterial SSU rRNA". It matches the Rfam family "Bacterial small subunit ribosomal RNA", at positions 509 to 1050 of the family's 1533-position model. The record is from RNAcentral.
CAGCAGCCGCGGUAAUACGUAGGUGGCGAGCGUUAUCCGGAAUUAUUGGGCGUAAAGGGUGCGUAGGCGGCCUGUCAAGUCUGUGGUGAAAUCGUGGGGCUCAACCCCAUCAAGCCACAGAAACUGGCAGGCUGGAGAGCAGUAGAGGCAAGUGGAAUUCCAUGUGUAGCGGUAAAAUGCGUAGAUAUAUGGAGGAACACCAGUGGCGAAGGCGGCUUGCUGGACUGCUACUGACGCUGAGGCACGAAAGCGUGGGGAGCAAAUAGGAUUAGAUACCCUAGUAGUCCACGCCGUAAACGAUGAAUACUAAGUGUUGGAGAAAUUCAGUGCUGCAGUUAACGCAAUAAGUAUUCCGCCUGGGGAGUACGCACGCAAGUGUGAAACUCAAAGGAAUUGACGGGGACCCGCACAAGCGGUGGAUUAUGUGGUUUAAUUCGAUGCAACGCGAAGAACCUUACCAAGCCUUGACAUCUUCGGCGAAGCUCUGGAGACAGAGCGGAGGAUAUCCGAAAGACAGGUGGUGCAUGGCC